GACAGAGGGUGCAAACGUUGCUCGGAAUCACUGGGCGUAAAGGGCGCGUAGGCGGCCUUCUAAGUCGAACGUGAAAUCCCCGGGCUCAACCCGGGAACUGCGUCCGAUACUGGAAGGCUUGAAUCCGGGAGAGGGAUGCGGAAUUCCAGGUGUAGCGGUGAAAUGCGUAGAUAUCUGGAGGAACACCGGUGGCGAAGGCGGCAUCCUGGACCGGCAUUGACGCUGAGGCGCGAAAGCCAGGGGAGCAAACGGG
This 253-nucleotide ribosomal RNA is filed under the name uncultured bacterium. RNAcentral describes it as "partial 16S ribosomal RNA". It matches the Rfam family "Bacterial small subunit ribosomal RNA", at positions 524 to 776 of the family's 1533-position model. The record is from RNAcentral.